AUUUGGAGGUGAUGGCUUCUCGAGAUUCUUUGUUGGGUUUCAAGUGAAAGCACGAGAAUUCUCGCCGAGAUAUAGAUCGCCAUGGCCGCCCCCUUCUUCUCUACGCCCUUCCAGCCUUAUGUCUACCAAAAUCCACAGGCAGUUGUAACACCUUUCCAAAUAUUGGGUGGAGAAUCACAGAUUGUUCAGAUAAUGUUGAAAUCAGAAGAGAAGGUUACUGCAAAGCCUGGUA
Dioscorea cayenensis subsp. rotundata (Guinea yam) is the source of this 232-nucleotide long non-coding RNA. RefSeq lists it as uncharacterized. The record is from RefSeq and is a predicted model, not a curated record. Lineage: Eukaryota; Viridiplantae; Streptophyta; Magnoliopsida; Dioscoreales; Dioscoreaceae. The transcript is spliced from 3 exons.